UCCCAUGUUGUCUAGUGGUUAGGAUACCUGGCUCUCACCCAGGAGGCCCGGGUUCAAUUCCAGGUAUGGGAA
Molecule: non-coding RNA, 72 nt
Organism: Daphnia pulex (common water flea)
Lineage: Eukaryota; Metazoa; Arthropoda; Branchiopoda; Diplostraca; Daphniidae
Source: Rfam